GGUUGUGAUGUGAAAGGCGCUUUCGGGAGUCGSUMAUGGAUGGACCCCCGGUGCAUUAGCUAGUUGGUGAGGUAACGGCUCWCCAAGGCCACRAUGCAUAGCCGGCCUGAGAGGGUGAUCGGCCACAUUGGGRAUGAGACAMGGSCCAAACUCMUACGGGAGRCAGCAGUAGGGAAUCUUCGGCAAUGGACGAAAGUCUGACCGAGCAACGCCGCGUGAGURAAGAAGGUUUUCGGAUSGUAAAACUCUGUUGUUAGAGAAGAAYAAGGAUGAGAGUAACUGUUCAUCCCUUGAMGGUAUCUAACCAGAAAGCCACGGCUAACUACGUGCCAGCAGCCGCGGUAAUACGUAGGUGGCAAGCGUUGUCCGGAUUUAUUGGGCGUAAAGCGAGCGCAGGCGGUUUCUUAAGUYUGAUGUGAAAGCCCCCGGCUCAACCGGGGAGGGUCAUUGGAAACUGGGAGACUUGAGUGCAGAAGAGGAGAGUGGAAUUCCAUGUGUAGCGGUGAAAUGCGUAGAUAUAUGGAGGAACACCAGUGGCGAAGGCGGCUYCUGGUCUGUAACKACGCGAGGYSAAAGCUGARCAACCCCA
RNAcentral lists this ribosomal RNA (589 nucleotides) under bacterium. Its description in RNAcentral is "partial 16S ribosomal RNA". The record is from RNAcentral.